UCUGUGAACUCCUACGGGAGGCAGCAGUGGGGAAUAUUGGACAAUGGGGGGAACCCUGAUCCAGCCAUGCCGCGUGUGUGAAGAAGGCCUUUUGGUUGUAAAGCACUUUCAGCGAGGAGGAGGCUACUGAAGUUAAUACCUUCAGAUAGUGGACGUUACUCGCAGAAUAAGCACCGGCUAACUCUGUGCCAGCAGCCGCGGUAAUACAGAGGGUGCAAGCGUUAAUCGGAUUUACUGGGCGUAAAGCGUGCGUAGGUGGCCAAUUAAGUCAAAUGUGAAAUCCCCGAGCUUAACUUGGGAAUUGCAUUCGAUACUGGUUGGCUAGAGUAUGGGAGAGGAUGGUAGAAUUCCAGGUGUAGCGGUGAAAUGCGUAGAGAUCUGGAGGAAUACCGAUGGCGAAGGCAGCCAUCUGGCCUAAUACUGACACUGAGGUACGAAAGCAUGGGGAGCAAACAGGAUUAGAAACCCGAGUAGUCCAUCAGCG
Molecule: ribosomal RNA, 484 nt
Filed under: uncultured bacterium
Lineage: Bacteria
Description: bacterial SSU rRNA
Rfam family: Bacterial small subunit ribosomal RNA
Source: RNAcentral